Molecule: ribosomal RNA, 253 nt
Filed under: uncultured bacterium
Lineage: Bacteria
Description: partial 16S ribosomal RNA
Rfam family: Bacterial small subunit ribosomal RNA
Source: RNAcentral
UACGUAGGGUGCGAGCGUUACUCGGAAUUACUGGGCGUAAAGCGUGCGCAGGCGGUUUUUUAAGCCCGAUGUGAAAGCCCCGGGCUUAACCUGGGAAUGGCAUUUGGGACUGCAAGGCUUGAGUGCGGCAGAGGAGACUGGAAUUCCCGGUGUAGCAGUGAAAUGCGUAGAUAUCGGGAGGAAUACCGAUGGCGAAGGCAGGUCUCUGGGCUGACACUGACGCUCAUGCACGAAAGCGUGGGGAGCAAACAGG